Molecule: transfer RNA, 84 nt
Filed under: Patescibacteria group bacterium
Lineage: Bacteria
Description: tRNA-Leu
Rfam family: tRNA
About the family: Transfer RNA (tRNA) molecules are approximately 80 nucleotides in length. Their secondary structure includes four short double-helical elements and three loops (D, anti-codon, and T loops).
Source: RNAcentral
GGCCCAGUGGUGGAAUUGGCAUACACGCGACACUUAAAAUGUCGUGCCCUUACGGGCUUGUGGGUUCGACUCCCACCUGGGCCA